GGGGGUGACCUGGCUUCGACGUGGGUCACGAAACCUUCGGGGCAUGCCGAGGUGCAGAGUUCCUCGUAAAUCCAGCUGCACACUAUAGUUGCCAACGACGACAACUACGCCCUAGCGGCUUAAUCCCCGCUAGUCUUUCACCUACGUUUCGCCUGUGGGCCGGGAUGAAAGAUCGAUCACACAGGAUCGCGCCGCUUCGUGCCUGUUGGAGUAGCGCUAAAACAUAGCAGGCUCAGCUCAGCGAGGAUCCUGUCUGCCGGAGACCGCUGAGUCAAAUCAAAGACAGACUACGCAUGUAGAACCGGAGCUGUAGGACUUGCGGACGGCGGUUCGAUCCCGCCCACCUCCACCA
RNAcentral lists this transfer-messenger RNA (352 nucleotides) under Candidatus Muproteobacteria bacterium RBG_16_65_34. It matches the Rfam family "transfer-messenger RNA". From Rfam's summary of the family: Bacterial tmRNA, also known as 10Sa RNA or SsrA, is named for its dual tRNA and mRNA-like properties. Its role is to liberate the mRNA from a stalled ribosome. To accomplish this part of the tmRNA is used as a reading frame that ends in a translation stop signal. Lineage: Bacteria; Pseudomonadati; Pseudomonadota; Candidatus Muproteobacteria. RNAcentral also lists the same sequence under 1 other name. The record is from RNAcentral.